CCGAGUGUAGCUCAGUUGGUAGAGCGAUUGACUGAAGUGUUCUAUACUGUGUUUCAUUAUUCUCGGAAAUCAAUUGGUCGCUGGUUCGAUUCCGGCCACUCGGA
Molecule: transfer RNA, 104 nt
Filed under: Phytophthora infestans T30-4
Lineage: Eukaryota; Oomycota; Peronosporomycetes; Peronosporales; Peronosporaceae
Description: tRNA-Phe for anticodon GAA
Rfam family: tRNA
About the family: Transfer RNA (tRNA) molecules are approximately 80 nucleotides in length. Their secondary structure includes four short double-helical elements and three loops (D, anti-codon, and T loops).
Source: Rfam by way of RNAcentral